RNAcentral lists this ribosomal RNA (262 nucleotides) under uncultured bacterium. Its description in RNAcentral is "partial 16S ribosomal RNA". It matches the Rfam family "Bacterial small subunit ribosomal RNA", at positions 100 to 354 of the family's 1533-position model. The record is from RNAcentral.
GAACGGGUGAGUAACACGUGGGCAACCUGCCCAAAAGAGGGGGAGUAACAACUUGGAAACAGGUGCUAAUACCGCAUAACCAUAGUUACCGCAUGGUAACUAUGUAAAAGGUGGCUAUGCUACCGCUUUUGGAUGGGCCCGCGGCGCAUUAGCUAGUUGGUGGGGUAAAGGCUUACCAAGGCAAUGAUGCGUAGCCGAACUGAGAGGUUGAUCGGCCACAUUGGGACUGAGACACGGCCCAAACUCCUACGGGAGGCAGCAG